UGUACCUACGGGGGGCAGCAGUAGGGAAUCUUCCACAAUGGACGAAAGUCUGAUGGAGCAACGCCGCGUGAGUGAAGAAGGUUUUCGGAUCGUAAAACUCUGUUGUUAGAGAAGAACGUGUGUGAGAGUAACUGUUCAUGCAGUGACGGUAUCUAACCAGAAAGCCACGGCUAACUACGUGCCAGCAGCCGCGGUAAUACGUAGGUGGCAAGCGUUGUCCGGAUUUACUGGGCGUAAAGGGAACGCAGGCGGUUUUUUAAGUCUGAUGUGAAAGCCCU
RNAcentral lists this ribosomal RNA (278 nucleotides) under uncultured bacterium. Its description in RNAcentral is "partial 16S ribosomal RNA". It matches the Rfam family "Bacterial small subunit ribosomal RNA", at positions 334 to 604 of the family's 1533-position model. The record is from RNAcentral.